RNAcentral lists this long non-coding RNA (798 nucleotides) under Scleropages formosus (Asian bonytongue). Its description in RNAcentral is "lncRNA (ENSSFOG00015031157.1)". The record is from RNAcentral. Lineage: Eukaryota; Metazoa; Chordata; Actinopteri; Osteoglossiformes; Osteoglossidae.
CUGCAGGCUGAAUGUACAGACAGUAUGUGAAGUGUUACAGAAAUGCUUUGUUGUGCAGGUGCUGCUGACAGUGUUUCUCAGUCAGAGAGAAACACAAAGGAAAUUAUCUUGUAUUAUGUCCUCCCUGCUGCGGUUGGGGGAAUUUGUGUCAUUGUGGGGAUCUGCUGUGCGCUCCACUUACUUCGGAAACGAAAAAGGCAAAAUUACGAAGACGACGGCGAUGUCAGUGGUGAACAGGCUGAAGUUGUACGAAGAGUCCGGAGAAACGAGAGCAGGCAGUAUUUGGAGAAAACGAACUCGGUCUACGGACGUUAACAUGAUGAGGACGUAGAGCGAAAAGGGUCACUUUUGCUUUCAACUUCCAUUAAUUGCUGGAGUAUAAAAGAAAGCUUUCUCCUUAAACGAGAGCUUUCUGUCUGCAAUACUCGAAGAUCCUUGAAUCCAGGCUUCCUGUAACGAUGAAGUUAUUUUCCACGACGCGUCUCUGAUCCUCAGUCCAGCGAACUGCCGACCGACGCCGGCAGCGGCACCGGGGGGGGACGAGCGGUUCGUUGAAACGAAUUGUUUUCCCGCCUUGGUUCUCCAGCCCCCCCCCCCGUGUCUGAUGGGUUUGUUGUUUUACUCUAUUUAUUGAUCCUCUUUAACCAUUAACAGGCUCACGGGUUACAAUGUUUUUCCGGGCUGCUCAUGUGUGACAAGUUUUUUUUUAAAAAAAAAAAAAAAAAAAAAAAAAAGUUGAGAAAUCCUUCAGAACUGAUCUGAAUCACGAUUCAGAUCGAGUGUUAACUUUUACAGAAA